This 1359-nucleotide long non-coding RNA is filed under the name Mus pahari (shrew mouse). RNAcentral describes it as "RIKEN cDNA 4933431M02 gene (MGP_PahariEiJ_G0005087.1)". Lineage: Eukaryota; Metazoa; Chordata; Mammalia; Rodentia; Muridae. The record is from RNAcentral.
UUACAGCACAGGGAUGUAGCUGAUCCCUCUGAAAGCAGAAAGACUGAAGGCUCUGGGCAGAACAAUUGGCUACAGUGGAUGCUAAAACCAGAGCCUCAGAGAAAGAAGGCUGCUAAUGGCCUAAGGAAAUCUGUCCCAUCAUUUGGGUCCCUCGAUGAAGCAUUCAAACUCAUCAGAGAGAAAAUAAAUGUACAAUGGGGAGAGAAGUCAUUCUCUGUAACACCAUCACCAUGAAGGUUACCAUCAAUACAUACUCAAGGAAGAAAGCGAGCCCGAACCCAAGGAAGAUGCAGCUAAGAUCACUGAAAUAGGAAGACAAAUAUCUGAAUGUUUAAACACAUAAAGAAUUCCCCCCUUUCAAUCCACAUAGCCUCAUGCUGUCAAGAACUUCACAGGACUCCUUAUUAAGAGCUGACAGCCCUUGCUUGCAAGCAGGCGUCCCCCAUCUCUCGCAAUACAGAAGUUGUUGGUACAUUCCUAUUUUUCUCCAAACAUAGGAGGAGGCUUGCAACCUACUGACUUCGAAUCAUCAUGAAAAUGACAGAUUGCUACUCUGUAAAAAUUGUCAUAAGAUUCCAUGCCUGAAACUGAGAUGUUUUCUUCUUCUUUUCCCACUUCUUCUACUUUAAGUGACCCUAUUAAUGAUAGAUCUCUACUUGAAAUAAUUGGCUAUUCUAAAACUGAGAAAUAAGCAUUUUCCUGUCCUCAUUGUUUUUCCUUCUUUAUCCCUAACAGCCCCAGAGGAUCACAAACAUUUGUCCUCAGGGCAAUAUCAGCGGUUAAUGAUUCAUGUUCAAAGUCUGUGAGUUGUCUAAUUAACAAAAGGCAAUGUUUUACAGAAGCCAUUUUUGCUUUCAAGUUAAUAGCACACAGCAGACACAAAUGCUACGAUGCCACUCAGGUCUUCAAGGCUGUGGUACACUACUGUUCCCAAACGUUACAGCUUCAUUUAUCUGACCCAAACUUCAAGCCAUUAAAAACAAAGCACUCUCAUUUGUUUCCUUUUGAAUGAUUGGCAGUCUUACAGCACCAUUCACAUAUCACAUCCUCCUGUAAUGUACUCAUAAAAUUUAUCUGUAAGUUCUUAUUAAAUGAGGCAUUUGAUUAACGAAAAUAAUAAGAGCUUAUUUUCUGUCAACUAUAUUCAUAACAAUAUCAGUCAUUAAAUAAAUCAGAAUCUUUAAAAUAACCCAAUCAUCUUUUAAUAUAAAUGGUGACACAUAUGAAAUAUUUCCUCAAUAGCAUGCGUGUGGUAAGAUUUCUGAUACUAUAGCAAUGUGUCAUUCUGCAUUUCCAUACAGAAAGACUGAUGUUUGAUAAAUAUUGACAUUUUCAAAAUUACAGUGUGUGUAUGUGUCU